ACACAUGCAAGUCGAGGGGCAGCGCGGGAUAGCAAUAUCCUGGCGGCGACCGGCGGAAGGGUGCGUAACGCGUGAGCGACAUGCCCGUUGCCCGGGGACAACCGGUGGAAACGCCGACUAAUCCCCGAUGGGAUAUUGUGCCGCAUGGCACGAUAUUGAAAGUUACGGCGGCGACGGAUUGGCUCGCGUCCGAUUAGCUUGUUGGCGGGGUAACGGCCCACCAAGGCUACGAUCGGUAGGGGUUCUGAGAGGAAGGCCCCCCACAAUGGGACUGAGACACGGCCCAUACUCCUACGGGAGGCAGCAGUGAGGAAUAUUGGUCAAUGGGCGGAAGCCUGAACCAGCCAUGCCGCGUGCGGGAAGGAGGCCCUAUGGGCUGUGAACCGCUUUUGCCUGGGGGCAAUAAGGGCGUCGCGCACGCCCGAUGAGAGUACCAGGCGAAUAAGCAUCGGCUAACUCCGUGCCAGCAGCCGCGGUAAUACGGGGGAUGCGAGCGUUAUCCGGAUUCAUUGGGUUUAAAGGGUGCGUAGGCUGUGCGUCAAGUCGGGGGUGAAAUUCCGGUGCUCAACACCGGGGCUGCCCUUGAUACUGUCGCGCUGGAGUGCGGAUGCCGCCGGAGGAAUGAGUGGUGUAGCGGUGAAAUGCUUAGAUAUCACUCAGAACACCGAUUGCGAAGGCAUCUGGCGAAUCCGUAACUGACGCUGAGGCACGAAAGCGUGGGGAUAGAACAGGAUUAGAUACCCUGGUAUUCCACGCCGUAAACGAUGAUGGCUAACCGCCGGCGACACACUGUCGGUGGCCAAGCGAAAGCGAUAAGCCAUCCACCUGGGGAGUACGUCGGCAACGAUGAAACUCAAAGGAAUUGACGGGGG
RNAcentral lists this ribosomal RNA (872 nucleotides) under uncultured bacterium. RNAcentral's name for it is "bacterial SSU rRNA". It matches the Rfam family "Bacterial small subunit ribosomal RNA", at positions 51 to 919 of the family's 1533-position model. The record is from RNAcentral.